AUGGCGACCGGCGCACGGGUGAGUAACACGUAUCCAACCUGCCGAUAUCUCGGGGAUAGCCUUUCGAAAGAAAGAUUAAUACCCGAUGGUAUAAUCAGACCGCAUGGUCUUGUUAUUAAAGAAUUUCGGUUAUCGAUGGGGAUGCGUUCCAUUAGGCAGUUGGUGAGGUAACGGCUCACCAAACCUUCGAUGGAUAGGGGUUCUGAGAGGAAGGUCCCCCACAUUGGAACUGAGACACGGUCCAA
This 245-nucleotide ribosomal RNA is filed under the name uncultured bacterium. Its description in RNAcentral is "partial 16S ribosomal RNA". It matches the Rfam family "Bacterial small subunit ribosomal RNA", at positions 88 to 334 of the family's 1533-position model. The record is from RNAcentral.